AGUCCGGGCAGGACGUAGCAUGGACAUGAGGGUCCCGACUCAGCUCCUCAGCCUCCUGCUGCUGUGGCUCCCAGGAGCCAGAUGUGAUAUCCAGAUGACCCAGUCUCCAUCCUCUCGGUCUGCAUCACUGGGAGACAGAGUCACCAUCACUUGCCGGGCCAGUCAGGGCAUUAGCAGUUGGUUAGCCUGGUAUCAGCAGAAACCAAGGACAGCUCCUAAGCUCCUGAUCUAUAAGGCGUCCAGUUUGCAAACCGGUGUCCCUUCGAGGUUCAGUGGCCAAGGAUCUGGGACAGAUUUCACUCUCACCAUCAGCAGCCUGCAGCCUGAAGAUGUGGCAACUUAUUACUGUCAACAGUAUCAGAGUUGGCCUCGGACGUUCGGCCAAGGAACCAAGCUGGAAAUCAAACGGUCUCAUGCUAAACCAUCCGUCUUCAUCUUCCAACCAUCUUCAGACCAGUUAAAAACUGGAAGUGCCUCUGUUGUGUGCUUGCUGAAUGGCUUCUACCCCAGGGAAGUCAAUGUCAAGUGGAAAGUAGAUGGCGUUGUCCAAACCAGUGGCAUCCAGAACAGUGCUACAGAGCAGGACAGCAAAGACAGCACCUAUAGCCUCAGCAGUACUCUGACACUGUCCAGUUCAGAGUACGAAAGUCAUGAUGUCUACGCGUGUGAAGUCACCCACGAGAGCCUAACUUCUGCCCUUGCCAAGAGCUUUGAUAGGAAAAGCUGUUAGAAAGGCCUACCAGGCUCCAUCAUCUGUGCCUUAGUCUUAGCCUUCCCUCUUCCCCUCCUUAGGCCUUGGGCCCGUUUCCCAAGAGACCUACCCAUACUACAGUACCCCAGCCCCUCUUCCCACCAUAUCCCCCCUCACUUUGGCUUUAAUCAUGCUAAUAUUUGGGGGGGAAAUGAAUAAAUAAAGUGAAUCUUUGCA
This is a non-coding RNA of Rhinolophus ferrumequinum (greater horseshoe bat), 928 nucleotides long. The record is from the annotation of a RefSeq genome assembly. Lineage: Eukaryota; Metazoa; Chordata; Mammalia; Chiroptera; Rhinolophidae.